RNAcentral lists this ribosomal RNA (1377 nucleotides) under uncultured marine bacterium. RNAcentral describes it as "bacterial SSU rRNA". It matches the Rfam family "Bacterial small subunit ribosomal RNA". The record is from RNAcentral.
GAGUUUGAUCCUGGCUCAGGAUGAACGCUAGCGGCAGGCCUAACACAUGCAAGUCGAGGGGCAGCACAAAGAUAGUUUACUAUUUUAGUGGCGACCGGCGCACGGGUGAGUAACGCGUAUGCAACCUACCUUAUACAGGAGUAUAGCCCGAAGAAAUUCGGAUUAAUCCUCCAUAGUAUUUUCUAAUGGCAUCAUUUGGAAAAUUAAAGCUUCGGCGGUAUAAGAUGGGCAUGCGUCCUAUUAGCUAGAUGGUAAGGUAACGGCUUACCAUGGCAACGAUAGGUAGGGGGCCUGAGAGGGUGAUCCCCCACACUGGUACUGAGACACGGACCAGACUCCUACGGGAGGCAGCAGUGAGGAAUAUUGGGCAAUGGAGGCAACUCUGACCCAGCCAUGCCGCGUGCAGGAAGAAUGCCCUAUGGGUUGUAAACUGCUUUUAUUUAGGAAUAAACCCUUCUACGUGUAGAAGGCUGAAUGUACUAAACGAAUAAGCACCGGCUAACUCCGUGCCAGCAGCCGCGGUAAUACGGAGGGUGCAAGCGUUAUCCGGAAUCAUUGGGUUUAAAGGGUCCGCAGGCGGACGUAUAAGUCAGUGGUGAAAUCCUGCAGCUUAACUGCAGAACUGCCAUUGAUACUGUACGUCUUGAAUUCGGUCGAAGUGGGCGGAAUGUGUAGUGUAGCGGUGAAAUGCAUAGAUAUUACACAGAACACCGAUAGCGAAGGCAGCUCACUAGGCCUGGAUUGACGCUCAGGGACGAAAGCGUGGGGAUCAAACAGGAUUAGAUACCCUGGUAGUCCACGCUGUAAACGAUGAUUACUCGUUUUCGGCGAUAUACAGUCGGAGACUAAGCGAAAGUGAUAAGUAAUCCACCUGGGGAGUACGGUCGCAGGACUAAAACUCAAAGGAAUUGACGGGGGCCCGCACAAGCAGCGGAGCGUGUGGUUUAAUUCGAUGGUAAACGAAGAACCUUACCUAGGUUUGACAUAUAAGUGGUACUGAUCCGAAAGGUGAAGGACCCGCAAGGGAGCUUAUACAGGUGCUGCAUGGUUGUCGUCAGCUCGUGCCGUGAGGUGUUGGGUUAAGUCCCGCAACGAGCGCAACCCUCGUGGAUAGUUGUUUUCUUUAUCCAGACUGCUUUUACAAGAGGAAGGUGGGGAUGACGUCAAAUCAUCAUGGCUCUUACACCUAGGGCUACACACACGCUACAAUGGACAGUACAGACGGUUGCUAAGUCGCAAGAUGGAGCCAAUCCGAUAAAGCUGUCCCCAAUCGGGAUUGUAGGCUGAAACUCGCCUGCAUGAACCUGGAGUUGCUAGUAACCGCAGAUCAGAAUGCUGCGGUGAAUACGUUCCCGGGCCUUGCACUCACCGCCCGUC